CCGUUUACAAGUCUCCACCACCUCCAACUCCUGUUUACAAAUCACCACCACCACCCAAGGACCCACACUACCCUCCACACACCCCAAUUUACAAGUCACCACCACCACCCAAAGAACCACACUACCCACCACAUACCCCAGUGUACAAGUCUCCACCACCACCAACUCCAGUAUACAAGUCACCACCACCACCCAAGAGGCCAUACCAUCCUCCACCAACACCAUAUCAUCCCACACCAGUUUAUAAGUCUCCACCACCACCAACUCCAGUGUACAAGUCACCACCACCCCCAACUCCCGUUUACAAAUCACCACCACCACCAGUGAAGCCAUACCAUCCCGCACCAGUAUACAAGUCUCCACCACCCCCAACUCCCAUUUACAAAUCACCACCACCACCAGUGAAGCCAUACCAUCCUAAACCUGUGUACAAGUCUCCACCACCACCAGUGAAGCCAUAUCAUCCUACACCCGUCUACAAGUCUCCACCACCACCAACUCCCGUCUACAAGUCACCACCACCACCAGUGAAGCCAUACCAUCCUACACCCGUCUACAAGUCUCCACCACCACCAACUCCCGUCUACAAGUCGCCACCACCACCAGUGAAGCCAUACCAUCCUACACCCGUAUACAAGUCUCCACCACCACCAACUCCCGUUUACAAGUCACCACCACCACCAGUGAAGCCAUAUCAUCCCUCACCAACACCAUACCACCCUACACCAGUAUACAAGUCUCCACCACCACCAACUCCCGUUUACAAGUCCCCACCACCACCAGUAAAGCCAUACCACCCUUCACCAACACCAUACCAUCCUAAACCAGUAUACAAGUCUCCACCACCACCAACUCCAGUCUACAAGUCUCCACCACCAACCCACUAUGUUUACUCCUCUCCCCCUCCUCCCUACCAUUACUAAGAAGUGAGUUUACUAUAUCUGAGGUAAUUAAGAUGAACUUAAACCUUUACAAACAUAUAUAACUAAAAUGCAAUGCAAUAAUAAGUUGCACAAUUAUUUCUUCUCUUUUGGUUAGUUUCUUUUAUAUGUUCUCAUUCACAAUAUUAUAUUGUUAUGCAGGAAAAGCAUAAUGUUGAGCUGAAAGAAAGGCAUUUUCCAUUUUCAAGAAGAAAAUUAUAGUAAAUAAUAAGGCUUACAGAAGAUCAGACGAAGUUCUUUUGUAGCUUCAUGUUAUCUAACUUGUCUUAGUGAUAUAUUGUUUUUGUACUCUAUUUUUAUAUAUUACUUUUAUGUGUCUUUGUGUAUGUUUGCUCACUUUCAAUCUUCUUGCAAAAUGCAGAGAUUAAUUAUGAGAUUAUCAUGAAUAAAAUAAGUUAUUACUACUCCCAUAUGUUUUAAUUAACUUCUCAUCACAAUAUAUAUUACCUUUGUUUUCAUUUUAUCAUGUGCUCAUAUUUAAUUUAUAAAAUUAUAAUGUGAACACAACAUUUACAAUUUUUUUCAAAUAGAACUAUUUAUAUAUAUAUAUAUAUAUAUAUAUAUAUAUAUAUAUAUAUAUAACAGGAUGCUCAAAUUAAUAACCAACGAAUUUCAUGUACUUAUGGUUAUAAUUCAAUCAAAUUCGAGUAUUGUAGUCCAUUUACGAUAACAAAAUAAAAAAAUUAUUUAAUAAUCACAUAAUACGUUGUUAAACUUUUGUAAAGUAUAUGAUUUCAGAAGCUCAAACAAAAAAUUACAAUCCAAAUAUUUUAAAAAUAAUAGUUUAAAAUUUUCACGCAUCACAUAAAUAUAUAUACUUACUCCAAGCCUAUCCUAUCCGAAAUUUUCAGCUAUUGAUGUAGCCUCUUGUCGAUACUACUAGUCUUCUCGCUACCUACUAGAAAAAUUCCAUCAAAAUAGAUUGAAUCGACGACCUAUACUUCAACUAAAGGCACGAGGGCGUAGCGAGCUUAACUAUUAUCGUAAUAUAAGAUGAAAUCCACCCAUUUUGAUAUCACAUACACGUCUUUAAAACUGAUAAAAUAAUGAGGUCUACUCUUAGUCAAAAUUAAAUGAUUGUAGACCACAUCUACAGUUCCCAAUUGUCAACAAUUCGAUCCUCCGCGUUUGUGGUAGGUUUCACUUUCAUUUCUUCGGUUCGAUUUUAUCAAAUUUUAAUUUGAUUCUUUAAUUUUUAAUUUUGGAAAAAUGUGUAUGGAAUGUUGAAUCGAAUUAAUUUGUUUAAUUAUCUUUUUAAAAAAUUAGUUUAAAACAAAAAUUGAAUUUCAAUAAAAUUUAAUGAAAAAAUUAUUCAAAUUGAUUAGGUAACCUUUUAAGUCAAAUAUCAAUAGUUGAAUAAUUUUAUAGGUAAAAUAUUCAUAAUUGAGUGACUUUGAGAUCAUACAAGAAAAUUGAGUGACUUUAUAAGAGAAAAAAUCUUAGUUAAAAUAAUUUUUUAUGAGAAAAAAUUCUUAAGUAACUUUAUGGCAUUAUAAAAAAAAAUUAACUCCUCUUUAAAUUAGAAUUACAAAAUUAAAAGUAAGUUCCAUUUUAAAGAUAAGGACAUUAUUAGUAAAAAUAAUUGGUGAACAUUUUCCAAUGAAAAAAUAAUAUUUUUCUAAAAUAGCUAAUAGAUGAUAAUUCGUUUCUUAGGCGUAAAAAUGUUAGGACAUGUUAGCCUCACUCAGUUGAAUAAAUUGCUCACCAAGAACAUAAUCAUUGAAUAUCCUAAAACAAAGUUUAAAAAUGAAUUAAAAAAAAAAUCAGUAAUAAAAAAAUACAUGCAAACUAUCUACAAAUGUAUUAUUAUUAAUUUUUAAAUAAAAAAGAGUAAAUGAAAGAGAAUAGAAGAUCUUUGACUUGUUAAUUAAGACAAAUAUUUGUCUAAUAUAAGUAUGUCGGUAAUAACAAUGUAGACUAAGAUCUGUACUUGUUUAUAUAUCCAUAUCCCUUAAUGUUAGGACCAUUAAAAUUAUUAAUUUAGUUUAACUAAUUAAUGGGAUCUUAUAAAUACAUUAAUAAUAUUACUGUUGUCGGUGAUUAAGUUAAUGCUAAUACUUAAUUGUUUUUUUUUUCCAAUUAAAAUGUCAAAGUCGUUAGAUGAACCAAAAUGGAAUCGUCCAUGAAGAUGGUACCAGAGUACAAUUAUUGAAUAAUAUCUUUUUUUUUUAACUUCAAAAAUUAAAGUGGAAUUCAAUUACCUACUUUAUAAAUGUAUGGCAACUUGGCAAUAAUUCAUUAAAUUUCAGGAAGAACAAAAACCAUCGAUAAUUGAGAUUAAUUUAAGAGAUAAAUGUCAAAAACACAUUUAAUAUAUUACAUAUUUUAAAAAAAUUCAUACUUCACCCCGUCUCUUUUCGAAAAAAUUGAUAUUAUUUUAUUUUUUUAAAAAUAGGAAUUCUAUCCAUCCUAUAUAACCUCCUGUACCUAAUUUUUUUAUAUAUAUUUUUGUGAGUUUGUAUUAGAUAUGUACAUAUAUUUUUAGGAAUUCUUUCUACUUGUGUACCAAAUAUAAAGUAAAUAAAACAUUUAUUUUUUAAAAAAGUCUUGAGGCCGUGGCAAAUAAAAAUUAUUUUCAAUAUGUUUAUAUCUAACACAAAAGGAGAAAAAGUUCGAAAGCGGACGGUUAGGUGGGGUAGGUAUAUUUUUUUUAAAGCAAAUUAGUAUAUAUAUUUUUUUGUGUGUGUGGGGUUGGGGGGGGGGGGGGGGUAAAAAAAAGUUAAAUACCUUUACAAAAGAAAUUUAAACAAAAAAAACUAAAAAAAAAAAGGGUGGGGGGAGGGUUGGACGGUUAGAGAAAGUGAUGGAGUGGGUAGGGAGGCGAGCAAAAUUGGGAGGGAGACGAGCAAACUUUGUACGUAUCGUAACCCAGAACAUGUGAAUCAAGCAAGAUACACACUAGGUACAUGUAUUUGUACGUGUCUAGAGGAAUUCACAUAUAUCUGGGAUAUCAUAUUCUUGGAAGAAUGACGAGCAAAAUGGAACAGAGGCAAGGAAGGAAAACGAGAUAUACUAUGUAUCCCAAAUACAUGCGAAUUCAAUAAAUAUAAUGUAUCUAGAACAAAUUACACCUAAAUUUGAUCGAGAUAUUCGAGAUACAUGUAUCUCAAGGCACCAAAAUCUGAUUUUUAUAUAUAUAUAUAUAUAUAUGAAAGUUUAUGUGAUCGAUAAAACUAAUAGCUUAGUAUUUCAAUGGUAUCAUUUCUACACAAAAUAGUUCUACCUCAAUUUAUGACAAAAAUGAUUUUAUUUAUAUGAGAUCAAAUUUAUAGGGUUUCGAUGACCAUGAUAAAACAGGAGAAUGUACAAAAAUACUUAAGUCCUUGUUUAUAAUAUACCAUUUUGCCAAAAUAUUUGUAGCUCGAUUAACUUUCUUAUAGAAAUGUUGAACCUUUCAAAUAAUAGUGCUUGAUAUAAUGAUAUAUUGUAAAUAUGAAAAGUGAUGUUUUUCAUUUUCCAAAGAAUACCACUAAAAUAGUUCUUUCUAACAUCAUGUAUAAAUUUUUAUGCAAGUAAAACAUUUUAAAUAAUAAUCUACGAAACUUGUUAUUUGAUCCUCAUAGAUAUUAUAACAUUUAGUUUUAGUGCUUAUGAAAAUAAUUUUGUUAGAACAAUAUUUCCAUUAUACGUAUAAAAAGUUCACAUUGUUCUUUGUUUUUAAAGAUACAAUAUCCUAAUUAUUUCAUUGUUAUUCCAUCUCUAUUAUUCAUUGAGCAUAAUUUGAAUAAUUUAUUUUUAUCAUAUUAUUACCAAUAUAAUCAUAGAAAGUCAAAUAAGAAAACUAAUUUUCCUUGUUACUAUUUCUUUGAUUAAUUGGAAUUAGAGACGACUAGUUAUUAUUAUGAGCAACUUUCACAUAUAGCAAACAAAAAAUUUAUAUUUGUAUGCUAAUUAAGCUCCAUAGCAAACAUAAAACUGUAUAAUUUGCUAUACAUAUACAAUUGUAUAAUUCGCUGGCCUAUUUCGCUGCAAUAGUAUAAUUUGUUUUGCAUACAGUUGAAUCGAAUUAAAAUGUAUGUAUAUUGCAUAAUUAUAAGUGUAUAGCAAGAAGAUAUAUGUUUUUCUCGCUUUAUACAAAAACAGAAACACAAUAUAUACACUUUUGUUGUAUAAAGCUAGAGAAAAUUGUAUUUCACUGCAAUUGUAUAAUUCGCAAUUGUAUAAUUCGUUGGCCUUUUUCUCUGCAAUAUUUGAAGUAAAAUGUUUGCAAAUUGUGUAAUUAAGUGUAUAACAUGAAGAUAUACAUUUUUGCAUGUGUAUAUACAAUUUUCUCUCGCUUUAUACAAAACAGAAACAGAAUUAUACACUUCUGUGUAUAAAGCGGGAGAGGCGAGCGAGAAUGGAGAGUGGCGAGCGAGAUUUUUGGGAGAGAGACGCUGGCAAAUUUUAGCUAAUGUUUGCUAUGGAGCAAAAUUAAAUCAAAUCCUAGCUAUUCCAUUUAAUUUAGGUUAUUAGUUUGCUAUUAUAUACAAUUUUUUCUAUUAUUAUUAAUCGGAUGCAUUUCACUCCGCACAUAAAUAACUUCCAAUAAUUUAAUAUUAAUUAUAUAUGCUCUAUUAAAUAAUUUUUAAAUAUAAAAUAAUAUUAUGGUAGAUUUGGGGGUGUCAAAAUCAAGUCAAUUUGUCAAACUCCCCUAUUCCAUUUAAUUUAUCAACUUUAACUCAUCUCAACCUAAUUUAGUUUAAUUCAUAUUUAAACAGUGAAUUGAUAUAUAAUUCAAAUUAGCUUAUCAAAAUAUUUUUAAAAUAAUAUUUUUAAAAUUUGAUAUGUUAUAUAUAGUCGUAAUAAAGAAAAAAAUAAACUUAUUAGGUGCUAAAAAAUUUUAAAAAGAGCAAACUAAACAACUAAAUUUUAGUAAAAAUUGAAGGGGUUAUAUUAGAAAUCGAAUUUAACUUAAUUAUGUCCAAUUCAUUUCAAUUCAAAUAGACAAUAGCUAAUGAUCCAUUCAUUUGUUAACUCAUUAAAAUUCAAUCGGUUCAAAUUCAGGUCAACUCUCCUAUACCAAACUUCUAGUAGAUCUUAAUCAAUAAAAAUUUGGACACGAAAACAAUUCAUUCAUUUCAUCCAUCAAAUUAUUAAUAAGUGACACCAUCUUAGCGACCCAGUUCAUUGUAUUAUAUUAAGAAAAAAUAACUUAAAUACACAAUUAUAAGUUUUAUAUUUUCUAAUUUUCCCUUCUUUUUUUUAAAUAUUACAUAAUUUCCUUUUUUUAAAAUUUUAGUGUAAGUUUAUAGAUACAUUACAUUCUCUCUCCUAUAGUACACAAUUACCCAUUUUAAUGCCUAUUUAUUCUCCAUUAAAACACUCAACCUUUUAAAUAAAAGACCUAAUUUUGAAUUUCAAAAUUCAAAAAAUUUCAAAUUUCAAAAAUCAGGUUCUCCCGUUUUUCUUACUCCAUCAAGUUUCACUUCCUUUUUUUCCAUAAUCAUCUUCCUUCUUCUUAACCUAGCAGAAUUUAUUGGUUUCUUCUUUUUAUUCUUAAUCCAUCAUCUUUUUCUUCUUAAUCUGUAAUCGUCUUAACCCAAUAUCUUUUUAUUAUUAAUCCAUCAUCAGUUCGUCUUUUCUUCUCUUUUUUCUUUUUGUUAAUUGUUCUAUUACAUUAUAGUAAUGGAUCCGUUAAUUAAUAGAAGGAUAUAUGAUUCCGACGAUGAAAAUUGGAAAGAAAAUAGGAAAAAGUUUUUGCAUGAUCCUAUGAAUCUUCAGAAGGAUUCAAACAAAGACUCUGGCGAAACAUCAAAAUCAAAGGUUAUCAAAAUACAACAAAAAAAGAAAAAAGAAGCAGCAAACAUUGUUGUUAGGCCUACAUUGUCUCGGGUUAGUAUUUUGGUACUUAAAACUGUUGUUGAAAUUAGUAAAAAUUUUAAGGAAUCUAGUGUGCUUGCCGAUACAUUUGAAUAAGUGUGUAUAGUGUUUUAGAGGUGAAUUGAUACAUGAAUUUAUUGUGUAUCAUAAUAUUUUAUAUGUAUCAUGAAGUUUUGAAAAUUGUUAUAAUGUAUCAUUCAAUAAGUUUAGUAAAUACGUCAUCAACUGUGCUUGAUGAUACAUAUAGAAUCAGUGUGUACGGUGUUUAGUCAAUUCACUGAUACAUGUAGGAGAUAUGUAUCACAUGUUUUGCAUAUAGUAUGAAUUUCUGAAAACUGAUAUCAUGUAUCAGUAAGGUAUUAGUUGUUUAGUUGAUGUACUGAUACAUGUUUGAAAAUUGUUAUAAUGUAUCAUUCACUAAGUUUAAUAAAUGCGUCAUCAACUGUACUUGAUGAUACAUAUAGAAUCAGUGUGUAUAUUGUUUAGUCGAUGUUUCUGAUACAUGCAUUAGAUACGAAAUUGAAUCUCCAACAACGAUUCCGUCGAUUUUGUAACUUUCAUACUGCAAUUCGUUCACCUAAAUUCCGGAAUGUCUCAUCAAAAUCGAAGUAUUCAUCUUGAAAAAUCCACUGUAACAACAAUAAAAUUACUGUAGUUCGAAAUUUAACAGAUUGUUCAAAAAAAUUGUUUUCAAAAUAGAUGACAUAAUCUUUGUUUUUCAAAAUUUGAAAUUAAUAUCCAAUUAAGUGCUUAUUUUAUGCUGAUUAAUGAUAUGUUACCGUAAAUUUAGCUGUUUUAUUAACAACAUUAACUGUACCGUUUUCCCCCUUUUUUUUCUCAACAGUUUAAAAUUACCAUGUAUCAUUUACCUUGUAUCACGAGAGUCUAAAGUAUCACGGCUCAACAAAUUUAAGAGAUUUUUUGUAAAUACUAAAUUUGUCUGGACAAAAUGAAAUUAUUGAAUUACACUAUAGGAUUCCUUAAAUUUUUACUUAUAUUAAUCUUUAGUAUGGGGACCUAAAUAUUUAACUUUCCAAUUCCUUUAGGGGUCAAUUUGAUUGAUUAUAAUGAGUGAAUUAUACUAUAAAAAUUGAAAUAAUAAUUAAUGUUUGUAGAGCAUAUUAAAUUAUUUUAUCAUGACUACAGUUGGUGUUAAUUGAAUUGGAAAUAAGAUAUAUACGGUAUAUAAUAUAUAUAGAAAUUUUAAUUUGAUUCGUUGAUUUUGUAUUUUCAGACAAAUUUUAUUUUUAAUUUUACCUUUCUUAAAGAACUUUUAGUUUGGUUGUUUUAUCAUGGAAUUAGCUAAUUAUUAAUCUAGAGAAUUGCUAUUCCAUAUACAACUUUGGUACAAUUAGAGAAUUAUAAUAUAAUUAAUUUCAAAAUUACUUAUAUUUAGGAACAAAAGUUUCAAUCAAACGAUAAAUAAUUGAAUAUUUUAUCUCAGAAUUAGUAUUAUUAUUAUUAAUACUAAUUAACGAUCCUAAGUUUCGAUUUUGUCACUCCGGUCCUUUUCUUUUAAUCUUUUCACAAACCAACUACAUUUGAUUGCAUUAACUAUAAAGUCCAUUUGCAUUAUUUUACAUAUCAAUUAAUAUUACUAAACUAAAUUUAUCUAUAAUUACUGAUUUAAAUGUAUACCUAUUUUCUCACCAACAUGGCAUAUAUAUUAGACUCAUUAAAAUUAAACGUUGCUUCAUGUGGUGUGUUCAAUUGGUUAGACUAUCUCGUCAAAUAUAUUGUUCGCAAAUAAACAAUGCUCAAAUGAAUGAUAUUAAUGUUGUUGGUGAAUAUUACAAGCUUCUCGUAACGUUUUGUUAGCUUACGUAUGAAUGUGCAAUAUUAUUUCUACUUAUUUUGUCAAACACUAAAAAAGUAAGUAAAAAACUUGUUUAUGUGAGAUAAUAUUUUUCUUUGUACCUAAAAAGUGCAUUAAUUUAUAUAGCUAAAAUAGUGCAAAGUUGAGGCCUCCACGCAUUAUUUUUGGUGAGAAGAAGAAUGAGAAGACUUUCUAUCUCUUUGAAUUAUUGCAUCACAAACAGUAUAGCUGCCUUAAUAGUUUAUUCAUUUGCUUAGCUUAAUGCCUCUAUCCAUCAAAUUAAAUAUACAACUAACAAGACAAAACCAAAUGAAAAUGCAUAACUCUAGGAUUUUACCUACAUUUGUAUAAAUUUUGGUAAGGGUAUCUGUCUAAAUGAAAACUAUAUAAAGGGGUUUGAGUGAAGCUUAAGAUGACAACAACUUUCUCCUUUGUUUCGAAUAUGGGGAAAAUGGCCUUUCUAGUUGCCACCCUUUUAGUGGUUUUAGUGUCACUUAGCUUAGCAUCUGAAAUUUCAGCUAAUUAUCAAUACUCAUCUCCCCCACCACCAAAGGAGCCAUACCACCCUUCACCAACACCAUAUCAUCCCACACCAGUUUACAAUUCUCCACCACCACCAAAAGAGCCAUACUACCCUCCACACACUCCAGUGUACAAGUCGCCACCACCCUCGACACCUAUUUACAAGUCGCCACCACCACCCAAAGAGCCAUACUACCCUCCACACACCCCUGCCUACAAGUCACCACCUCCACCAACUCCAGUUUACAGGUCGCCACCACCUCCCAAGGAGCCAUACUAUCCUCCACACACACCAACCUACAAGUCGCCACCUCCACCAACUCCCGUUUACAAGUCACCACCACCUCCAAAGGAACCAUACUACCCUCCACAUGCACCAACCUACAAGUCGCCACCACCUCCCAAGGAGCCAUACUACCCUCCCCACACCCCAACCUACAAGUCCUCACCUCCACCAACUCCGUUUUACAAUUCACCACCACCUCCCAAGGAACCAUACUACCCUCCUCACACACCAACCUACAAGUCGCCACCCCCACACAAGGAUCCAUACUACCCUCCACACACACCAACCUAUAAGUCACCACCUCUACCAACUCCUGUUUACAAGUUGCCACAACCACCCAAGGAGCCAUAUUACCCUCCACACACACCAACCUACAAGUCACCACCUCCACCAACUCCCAUUUACAAGUCACCACCACCUCCCAAGGAGCCAUACUACCCUCCACACACACCAACCUACAAGUUACCACCUCCACCAACUCCCGUUUAUAAGUCGUCGCCACCACCAUCCAAAGAGCCAUACUACCCUCCACACACACCAACCUACAAGUCACCACCUCCACCACCUCCCGUUUAUAAGUCUCCACCACCACCCAAGGAGCCAUACUACCCUCCACACACACCGACCUACAAGUCACCACCUCCACCAACUCCCGUUUACAAGUCCCCACCACCUCCUAAGGAGCCAUACUACCCUCCACACACACCGACCUACAAGUCACCACCUCCACCAACUCCCGUUUACAAGUCCCCACCACCUCCUAAGGAGCCAUACUACCCUCCACACACACCAACCUACAAGUCACAACCUCCACUAACUCCCGUUUAUAAGUCGUCGCCACCACCACCCAAGGAGCCAUACUACCCUCCACACACACUAACCUACAAGUCACCACCUCCACCAACUCCUGUUUAUAAGUCGCCACCACCACCCAAGGAUCCAUACUACCCUCCAAACACCCCAACUUACAAGUCGCCACCUCCACCAACUCUCAUUUACAAGGUUCCACCACCAGCCAAGGAGCCAUACUACCCUCCACACACACCGACCUACAAGUCACCACCUCCACCGACUCCCCUUUAUAAGUCCCCACCACCUCCUAAGGAGCCAUACUACCCUCCACACACACCAACCUACAAGUCACCACCUCCACCAACUCCCGUUUAUAAGUCGUCGCCACCACUACCCAAGGAGCCAUACUACCCUUCACACACACCAACCUACAAGUCACCACCUCCACCAACUCCCGUUUAUAAGUCUCCACCACCAACCAAGGAUCCAUACUACCCUCCACACGCCCCAACCUACAAGUCGCCACCUCCACCACCUCCCACUUACAAGUCGCCACCACCACCAAAGGAGCCAUACUACCCUCCACACACACCAACCUACAAGUCAUCACCUCCACCAACUCUCAUUUAUAAGUUGUUGCCACCACCACCCAAAGAGCCGUACUACCCUCCACACACACCAACCUACAAGUCACCACGUCCACCAACUCCCAUUUAUAAGUCGUCGCCGCCGCCACCCAAGGAGCCAUACUACCCUCCACACACACCAACCUACAAGUCACCACCUCCACCAACUCCCGUUUAUAAGUCGCCACCACCACCCAAGGAUCCAUACUACCCUCCACACACCCCAACCUACAAGUCGCCACCUCCACCAACUCCCGUUUACAAGUCGCCACCACCACCCAAGGAGCCAUACUACCCUCCUCACACACCAACCUAUAAGUCACCACCUCCACCAAGUCCCGUUUACAAGUCGCCACCACCACCCAAGGAUCCAUACUAUCCUCCACACACCCCAACCUACAAGUCGCCACCUCCACCAACUCCCGUUUACAAGUCGCCACCACCACCCAAGGAGCCAUACUACCCUCCUCACACACCAACCUAUAAGUCACCACCUCCACCAAGUCCCGUUUACAAGUCGCCACCACCACCCAAGGAGCCAGACUACCCUCCACACACCCCAUCCUACAAGUUACCACCUCCACCAAUUCCCAUUUACAAGUCGCCACCACCACCAACUCCUGCCUACAACUCUCCUCCACCACCUUACUAUCUUUACACCUCUCCCCCUCCUCCCUACCAUUACUAAAAAGCCACUUCAUUAUAUCGAGGUAAUUAAGACAAACUAAAACUAUUACUAAUGAUGUGUCUAAAAUGCAAAGCAAUAAGUUGCUCAAUUUCCUCAUGCAAAUCAUUAAUAUAUAGACCUAUGCAGUCUAUAUUCUUAUUUGGAUAACUUUAAUUACAUGUUCUCAUUCACAAAAUUAUAUUCUUAUGCAGGAAAAGCAAAAUGUUGAGCUUAAAGAAAGGCAUUUUACAUUUUCGAGAGACGAUGAAAAAAGAAGAAAACUAUAGUAAAUAAUAAGCCCCACAUAAGUCGAAGUUCUUUUGUAGCUUCAUGUUAUCUAAGCUAGUGAUACUGUUUGUACUCUAUUAUUUAUAUUUGUAUUUUUACUUUUAUGUCUUUCUGUAUGUUUGCUCAGUUUUAAUAUCCUAGCAAAAUGCAAAGAUUAAUUAUGAGAUGAAUAAAAUAAGUUAUUACUAUUAUACAGUUUUAUGUUUUCCUUCUCUCUGAUCUAUUCGAUCUUAAUUAGUCCUUUUUUUGGUCUUAUUUCUUCAUCUUUAUAUCGAAGGCGAGGCUCAACGAUUACAUUAAAUCAAUCAUCAUACAGAUAAAAUUGAUGACAAAUUUAACGUUAAGAUAUCAUCAAAAUCUCAAUAACAAUUUACAGAUCGAAAUCUUAGUAUCGAUUGAUUAAUAACCUAAACUUUCGCCAUGAAGACUUGAAUCCCUAAUCCCGUCCUUCAUUUCCCAUAUCUCUACCCACACAUUAUCUUUUAAGAAAGAAGAAGUAACAACCAAAAUAAACAUUAUAUCUAAAGUGAUAAUAUGAUAACAAUACAAAUAGGCAACAAUACAAUUAAAGAAAAAAAAAAAAGUUACUCCCACGAUGUCAACACGUAUGCUAGACUGACCAAUAAAGUUAGACAAAUUUCAAAAUUGACAAUAGCAAAGUAUACGUACGUAGCAUAUAGCAACCAAUCAAUGAAUAAAUUAUUCCUAAAGUAGUCAUUAUCAUCUCAUAUACUAUAUUUGGUAAAAUACUAAGAUUAAGUCAACAUAAUUCAGUCUACCGUUUGGUAAUUUAUAACAAAUAGUGACAAUAUUAAUAAAGUGAUUGGUGCUCUCUUUUGGCCCACCCCCAAGAAGAUCGUGAACGCAUAUUUUAAAUUUGAUUUGAUUACCACUUUUUAAUAUCUUUAAAAUAAAACUUGUAUAUUUAAAAAAUUAAAAAUUAUUAUUAUUAUUUAAUUAUAUAAAUAAAAUAUUUUAAAAUACAUUAGUAUCUUAAUAGAGAAAAGAUUAAAAAAUUAAAAAUUAUUAUUAUUAUUUAAUUAUAUAAAUAAAAUAUUUUAAAAUACAUUAGUAUCUUAAUAGAGAAAAGAUUGUUUGUUUGAUUUUCUAAAGUAACAGAGUCGGAUGAGAUAGUUGAUUAAUUUGACGGUUUGAAUAAUAUAAUCUUCUUGAUAAAUAAUCAUCAACCCAUCAUGCAUGUUUUAUAUUUAUUGAUAGAAACUUUGAUGGAUUGAUUUGUUGGUGCCGCCUCAACAUAGAGAAAAGAAAAAGAACAAGUUAUUUCAAUCUAUUACACUUUAGAGAUUAAAAAAAACAUUUUUUAAAGCAGUGAUAAAAUUGAUAAUAAUAAGUUGUUAAUAUGUUUGGCAAAAAGAGUGUCGAUUAACUAUUUUUUGCUAUAGUAUUGAAAUAUCUUUAGAUUUUUUAACCCCCAAAAAAGGUUUAAAACUACCUCUGUAAAGAAAAGGAGUUUAUUUUUAGAAAAUAUAUCUCGAGAAAUAAAGUAAGAUAAAGGAUAAAAUCGUGAAAGAAAAAUGUUGAUAAGCAAACAAAAAAAUCAAAGUUAGGAAUGACCAAUUUAUUGAAUAUAACUAAAUUGUCUUAAAUAAGCAACUUAGCUUAUAAAUAUAUAUAUAAAAUUAUUUUUAUAUCAGUUUGAUCAAUUAAUAAUAAAUUGAUUAUGCAUGAAAUAAUAGGAAGUGUUCUAAUUAAAAAGAAUACAAGGAAAAAGGUGCAGUAUUGUGUACGAUCGACCAAACAUACAUUCGUUAUUAAUUAUUAUUAAGCUAAUUAGACAACGCUAUCUUAUUAAUUUAUUAUAGAGCUGUCGAUAUUAGUUUAGAUAAUUAAAUUAUAUAAAAUUCAUUUAAUUCAAUCAAAGCUUGACUUGUUAAAUGUUAGGUUUAUGAUAUGAUUAAUUAUAUAUAUAAUUCACUAUGAUUUUACGCGACUUGUUAAUCAAGACCUUAUUUAACAUAUUGAUUAAGUUAUUAGUUAUAUAACUAAUAAAAAUAUAUUUUAAAUAAUAAAUGGUUAUUGAGAGAAAACUUCCAUGCAAUUAUCAUAAUAAGAAACUUCUUAAGAAAUUGUCUCUAAUUAGAUAAUUGGAUGGUGACUCUUUUGUUUAAAAAAAAUUGAAUCAAUCAAGAUUUUAUUGCUAUUAAUUGUGAACUACAAUUUGUAGAAGGGGAGCAUAAACCUAGAUAUUAACUAUGCACAACAUGAGUGUGCAAGAUUAUUUUGUUUAUUUAUUUUGAUUCAAUUCAGUAUCCGAUAUUCAUAUUAGAUUCUCAAUCAAAUUUGUAUUUACAUUAAAAAAAUUCAGUGCUCCUUAACAGAGGCAACAACUCUGUACUCAGGAGAACUCGAAUUCGAGACCUCUAAACAAGAAUAAAGAAGUAUUUGUUAUUCCAUAACAAUUUUUAUUGAUAAAAGAAACUCGUAGUAUCAUGAAAAGAUAAUAGAUUAUCUAGGCCUAAUGGAAAAUUCAGUCAAGCUUUAGAGGGAAAAUUAUGGCAUAGCAAAGUUACAAACUUUAUAGUAUGAUUAACUUAAUUACAAGACCGUUAAAUUGAAUGCAACCCCAAUAACUUUUCUUUCAAUAAAUAUUUGGCCUUUGUGAGCUUUAUUUGAACUCUCUCUUCCUUCAUAAACUUGACCAUCAGCAAUAUUUUCCUUUCCUCUUUUAUUUUAUUGCUCACUCGAUAGUCAGCUUUUAAGAUUGACUUGAUGUUUCGAUAAGCGAAAGGUGUAAAUCCAGAUUAUGCUCAAGUAUCUAAGUGAUAUAUGAAUUGCAAACUUUUUGCAUAUGCAUUUGAGAAGAAAAUAAUUAUCACAAGAAAAUAAAUAAUUAGCAUGCGGUAAAUUAUUAACGUAGUUAAAUAAUGUUAUAGUCUUAUAAAUUAAAAUAAAGACAAGGCAACAAUUGUCACUAAUUAUUUGUAUUGUUAGCAACAAAAACUAAGAGAACAUAAAUAAUAUAUACUUAAUGGCUCAAUUUUACACCAUUUCACUAUAAAUAACUUUAUGUCGCUAAUUUGAUUACAUAUUUUUGUGACGAAACUUAUUUUGUAUCCAAACUUAAACGAAUUUAAAGAUAAAUAUGAUUUAUCAUAAAUAUUCAGUAAAAACAGGGAGAAAAUUUAUCAUCAUCAAUAUCCUCAAUUUCGUCGCUAAAAUUACCUUACAAUUUGAUUUAAUUAUAAAUUGAAAAUCAAAUUUAAAAAUGAUUAAAUUUGUGAUGUUGGUGCAAAAUGCACGUAUCAAAUUAAACCCACCUUUAGGUCUAAGAAAAUGGUGAGCACAUCUUAACCAUUAUUCUUCAACUCAUUUCAUCUCUUCCUCAAUUAAUUAUGCAAAUAAUAAAAAUAUUUCUUUUUCCAUUCAAUGUCUGUGUUUUAUAUUGAAGUUCCAAUUAACUCUAGAUUAGAAACCGGAGGCGAGGGCACAUUUAAAGGUGAUGCUUCCUAUACGACUCAUGUAGUAAAAAAAAUUAUAAAAAAAACCACCACAAUAAUUAUAUACGCUUCAAAAAAAAGAAGAGAAUAGAAUAGCAUCCUAUUCAUAGAGAAAACUAUACUUGAUAGUUAACUGGUAGCAAAACUUUUGCACAAGAUUAAUUAUAUUUGUAUAGUUGAUUUAUUCAAGGUUUUAAUUAGAAGAGGUCUAGGAUUCUAUUUAUUUUUAUCCAUAUUUUUUAAACAAUAAAUUUGCUACAAAAGGAUGUCUGUGACAAAUCAUGUCUCCUAAAUAUAAGCACUUGUGUGAAGGUUAGUUGAGUGUAAAGUUGAGGCAUCCACGCAUUUUUUUUUUCAAAGGUUCUGUAAAAAGAAAACAAGAUUUUGUAGCUCUUUGAAUCAUUCUGUCACAAACAGUAUAGUUCCCUUAAUAGUUUAUACAUUUGCUUAGGAUGAUGCCUCUAUAUAUCUAUCAAAUUAAAUAUACAAACUAAAGUCAAAAUUGAGCCAACAACAUGUCAAGACUAAAUAAACAUAUGCAUAACUCUACCAUAUUACCUACAUUUGUAUAAAUUUUGGUAAGGGUAAUUUCUAAAUGAAGUCUAUAUAAAGGGGUUUGGGUGAAGCUUAAGAGGACAAAAACUUCUCUCCUUUGUUUCAAAUAUAGGGAAAAUGGCCUCUCUAGUUGCAACUCUUUUAGUGGUUUUAGUGUCACUUAGCUUACCAUCCGAAAGUUCAGCUAAUUAUCAAUACACAUCUCCCCCACCACCAAAGGAGUCAUACCACCCUUCACCAACACCUUAUCAUCCCGUACCACUUUACAAGUCUCCACCACUGCCAACUCCAGUUUACAAUUUUCCACCACCACCCAGAGAGACGUACUACCCUCCACACACUCCAGUGUACAUGCCGUCACCACCCUCGACACAAAUUUACAAGUCGCCACCACCACCCAAGGAGCCAUAUUACCCUCCACACACCCCAACCUACAAGUCGCCACCUCCACCAACUCCUAUUUACAAGUCUCCACCGCCGCCAACUCCCUUUUACAAUUCUCCACCACCACCCAAGGAGCCAUACUACACUUCGCCACCUCCACCAACUCCUACUUACAAGUACCCACCGCCACCAACUCCGGUUUACAAUUCUCCACCACCACCUAAGGAGCCAUACUACCCUCCACACACCCCAACCUACAAGUCGCCACCUCCACCAACUCCUGCUUACAAGUCUCUACCGCCGCCAAUUCCAGUUCACAAUUCUCCACCAUCACCCAAGGAGCCAUACUACCCUCCACACACCCCAACCUACAAGUCGCCACCUCCACCAACUCCUGCUUACAAGUCUCUACCGCUGCCAAUUCCAGUUCACAAUUCUCCACCAUCACCCAAGGAGCCAUACAACCCUCCACACACCCCAACCUACAAGUCGCCACCUCCACCAACUCUUGCUUACAAGUCUCCACCGCCACCAACUCCGAUUUACAAUUCUCCACCACCACCCAAGGAGCCAUACUACCCUCCACAUACCCCAACCUACAAGUCGCCACCUCCACCAACUCCCAUUUACAAGUCGCCACCGUCACCAACUCCGGUUUACGAUUCUCCACCACCACCCAAGGAGCUAUACUACCCUCCACACACCUCAACCUACAAGUCGCCACCACCACCGAAUGAGCCAUACUACCCUCCACACACACCAACAUACAAGUCGCCACCUCCACCAAUUCCAAUCUACAAGUCACCACCUCUUCCAACUCCUAUUUACAAGUCGCCACCACCACCCAAGGAGCCAUACUACCCUCCACAUACUCCACUUUCACCGUCUUCAGUUUAUAAGUCUCCACCUCCACCAACUCAUGUUUACAAGUCGCCGCCACCACCUAUAGAGCCAUACUACCCUCCACACACCCCAAUCUAUAAGUCGCCACCUCCACCGAUUCCUGUUUACAAUUCACCACCUCCACUAACUCCAGUUUAUAAGUCACCACCACCACCCAAAGAGCCUCACUACCCUCCACACACCCCAGUGUAUAAGUCACCACCACCACCCAAGGAGCCAUACUAUUCUCCACAAAAUCCAGUCUACAAGUCGCCACCUCCACCAACUCCCAGUUACAAGUCGCCAACACCACCCAAGGAGCCAUAUUAUCCUCCACAUACCCCAACUUACAAGUCACCACCUCCACCAACUCCAGUAUACAAGUCGCCGCCACCACCCAAGGAGCCAUACUACCCUCCACACACCCCGACCUACAAGUCGCCACCACCACCGAAGGAGUCAUACUAUCCUCCACACACCCCAACCUACAAGUCACCACCUCCACCAACUCCUGUUUCCAGCUCUCCACCACCACCAACUCCAGUCUACAAGUUUCCACCACCAACAGAUUAUGUUUACACCUCUCCCCCUCCUCCCUACUAUUACUAAGAAGAGAUUUCAUUAUAUCUAAGGUAAUUAAACCAAACUAAAACUUUUAAUUAUGAUAUGUCUAUAGAAGUUGCACAAUUUCUUCGUUCGAAUAAUUAAUAUAGACCUGUAUACUGUCUACAUCUUAUUUGGUUUAGGUUCUAUUAUAUGUUCUCAUUCACAAUACUAAUUAUAUUCUUAUGCAGGAAAGAUGCAGAAUGUUGAGCUAAAAGAAAAUAAGCCCACACAGGAGGCAAAGUUUUUUUGUAGCUUCAUUUUGUAUAAGUUAUUGUUUGUACCCUAUAUUAUAUUUAUAUUUUACUUCUAUUUAUUUGUGUAAUAUGUUUGUUCGAUCUCCUUGCAACAUGCAGCCAUUAUGAGAUGUAUAAAAUAUGUUAUUACUAUAUAUACUGUCUUUUUUCUUAUUUUUGUCAUCCCUUAUAUUGAGUUAUAUUUAUAAGUUGAGCCUCUUAUCAAUUACAUUAAAUCAGUUGCUAUAAAAAAUGUGGUUUUUCACCACCAAUAAGUUCAACGAUAAGCUACAAUCAACUGGGAAUAUUAGUAGCUUCAAUAGAAAAUGUUAAUAGCUCCGUUGAUUAGUUAUUUGAACUUUUUAUCUUUAUUACACGUCGCAAUAACAAUCAAUGUAAAUAUUAUAUCUAACCUCUGGACUUAUGCCCACAUAAUUCCUCAAUGCACCCACACAAAAUAUUGAAAUUAAAUAUUAUUACUUGCCUAUUUCUCUUAUCUUGAUUAUUAGUUUUCAGGGAUGAAAGUUUAAUUGUUACACCUUUCACUUUUUUAAAAAAAAAAAAAAGGAAUGGACAACCAACUGAUUUCGUAUCUGAUUGUAGUUGUUGAAGGCAUAUUGUAAUAAUUAAAUUUUCGUUUUUGAAAAAUAAUAAUCAAAAAAUAGAAAAUAUCAAUAAAUAAUAAUAUUUAAUUUUAUUUAUUUGUGCACGAUUUAACAAUCAUUAGAGAUUUCACACUAAAAUGUUUAAUUUUUUUGUUUUUUCUUUUUUUCUCUUCAUGACUAUCAACUCAAAAGUUUUGCUUUUUACCUGAAUUGAUGGAAUACUUGUUGAAAGUUUACCACGAAUGCAUAAUCAAUUUUUAAUCACAUUCGAGGAGGCAUAAAACGACUCACAACUUGAAGGCAAAAAAGAGUUGUAUGCAGAAGACUGCAAAUCAUUAUUGAAUAUUUUUUUAUAUAGGCAUCAGCUAGGGUUUGAAAUAUUUGAUCUAAUCGACUUUAGGUUUGAGAAUAUGAGUUGUGUUGGAUUAGACUUGUAAAUUUAAUAAUGGACUAACCUAAAUUUAAUCGAAAAAUUACCUAACUACAUAUAUAUUUUUUUAUCCUAUUUUCUAUUAUUUCAUAUAAUUUAUAAAAAUUACAAAAAUCUUUUUUUUCUCUCAAAUUCGCUCCUUUCAAGAUUCAUAACUUUAAAUCUUCCAACUCACAAUUUCUCCUUUUUCUCAGGCCUAUAAUCGCUCUACUAUAUUACUAGUUACCUUCAUCUCCUAUAUUUUGAAUUUUAGAUAUUUUUCUCUCUCCCGUUUAUAAUUUAAUUGAGUAUGUAUCAUAUGUUUGUUAUGUAUGUGAAGUACUAUUUUAUAACUAAAUCAUUGUUUAUCAUAUUCAUAAGUUUUUUUUAUAUGAUACAUAGCUAUGUCAAAUUAUACCGGCAUGAUACAUAAAUACUAAUUUAUGCUACAUGUAACGAUCUCAAAUCAAACAACUUAUGAGCAACAAUUACAUGUUAAAUGUAUCCCGUAACAAUACGAUACUUAUUAAUUUAAACGAGAUAAAUAAAUAGUAAUGUAUCAUGUAUUAGUUUUUAGAUGUGAUACAUAAAUUCGAAUUUGGACUACAUGUAUUAAUUACAUAGAAACUACCACGCGGUGAUGUAUCCAUCACAAAUGUAACAUCUUAUGGGCAACAAUUACUUAUUUAAUGUAUCUACUAUAAAUACAAUACUAAUCAAUUGAGACGAGAUACACAAAUAGUAAUGUAUCAUGCAAAAAAAUUUUUUACUUGAUAUGUGAAUUCGAAUUUAUACUAAAUGUAUCAAUUACAUAGCAACUACCACAUUGUAAUGUAUCGAUCUCGAAUUCAACAUCUUAUGGACUAUAAUUAUUUAUUUAGUGUAUUUAGUAUAAAUACAAUACUUAUCAAUUUAAACAAGAUACAUAAAAGUAAAAUGCUAAGUAGACAAGAUAUUCAUGAUAAUAUUCUCAAUUUUUUUGAGAUUCUUCAAUAAACUAGGAGAAGAAUUCUGAAUCUCAAAAUUUACAACAAUUUUGAAUCAAAAUUAAAAAGAUCUUUGAUGAACUGGAGAACAAAGAAUCUUAAUCUCAAAAUUUUUAACAAUCUUGAAUCAAAACUGAAAGGAAUAUCUUUGAUGAUCUUGAAGAUUCAAAAGAAAAUUGUUUAUCCAACAACAAUUUUGUCACUUUUGUAUCAUUCAUAAUUCACUUCGCUUACCCAAAAUUUCGACAAAAGUUUUUGGAUCAAAUGUGAAAGGUUUCUUUGUUGAACGGGGGGAUCAACUAGAAAUUUUAAAUUUCUUCGUUCUGUAUGGAUUUGAUUCUGUAUGAUUGAGAGUAAAAAGAAAUAUAAGCGUAAUUUAUGGAAUUUAAUUAGUUUUCAGAUUUUAUUUUCUUUUUAGCGCAACAGAAAGAUUCUUUUUGUAUUAAAAUUAGUGUAUCUAGAUGGUGGUGACUUAUGUAUUUGUUGAAGGAAGCUGAUGGAACAGGUUUGGUAGUAUAUGACUUUUUUCCUAUAUAAGGAUGAUGUAACUCAAUCAUUCAUUCAUCAAUAUAAUCCUUGAUUCUUCACAUACAUAUCUGUGAGAAUUCUACAUCCGAAAGGUACAAAUUUUAACGGAUCAUUUUAUUAGAAAAAAAUAGAGAUAAAAUAUAAUGUAUUCUUUACAUUACGAAGUUUACGUAAGUUAAUCAAAUUUGAUUAAACUUCCCUUAAAUCAUAAAAGUUUAACUUAAUAUUAUUCCAACUUUAUUAUAGAUAUAUAUAAUUGGAAAAAAAAACAAACAAAAUAGAACAUAAGAUCUCGAUCGCUGGACAAAUGUUUGUCUAUAAUAAAUAAAUAUGUCGGUAAUAAUUAUUGACUAGGUCAAUGUAGCUAAGGUUUGUACUUGUUUAUACUUACAUCCUAUCUCUUGGGACGAUUAAAAAAAUAUUAGUUUAGCUUAUUUAAUAAUGGAAUCUUAUAUGGAGUUUACUAAUUUUAUCUUUGUCGGUGAUUAAGUUAUACAAAUGAUUAAUUAUUUUUCUAAUUAAAAAGUCAAAAGUCAUUAUUGGAUGAACCAAGAAUCUUCCAUGUAUUUGAAUACUUUUUCUGUCUCCCUUAAAUCGUGAUGGCUUUUUUGUAAGUUAAAUAAUAAAAAAUUUUAUUAAUGUUUUGUUGAUAUAAGAAAUUAUAAAAUAAGUAUUUUUGUAUAAUAUAUUUAAAUUUUUAAUUUAAAUUUAAAUUUUAAAAAUUAGUUAUAUUAACUGUUAAAAAACCGUACAACGACUAAAACGGGACGGCUUGUUCUCUUCUUUCUUUUAUUAUAAAUAAAAAUAAAAAUUUAACUAAUGUGCAAUCAAUAAUGUUAAUUAUUUAUUCAAAGUUUAAAUUAAACACAUAAAAGUGAAAAGUAUAAAGCCUUCAACCGAUUCGAUUCAUUUAAUUAUGUUUCUUAAGAUAUUCCAUAUUUUCAAAUUUUAAAGAGAACUAUAAAUUCCUACAUUUAAAACUACAUACAUUAUUAAAAUGUGCCUAUAUAACACGCAUUUAAAUUAGUUGUGCUCAAAUAUAGAUAUCAAACAAGGAAUAAAACAUAAAGUGAAUUACUUAAACUAUAAUUAUAUAUUAAGUAAUUAAAUCAAAUCGUGUAAUUUAAUUAAUUAUACUACCAAAAUAUUAACUUCAACGAUAUGAAGUAACGCAAUGUACCUUUAAAGUUUCACAAAAUUUAAUUAGGUUGUAAGGUUUGAUUCUUGAAAUUUAGAAAUUAUUUUCAAGUGAUUUGAGUACAUUGAAAGUACCUAAGUCAAUAAAGUCAAAAAUAAAUUAAUUUUUACUUUGUAUCGUGACCUGUAUUCUACAUCUUGUGUGUUCCCACGAUAAUAAACUAAGAUACCAAAAAUUUCAUAGAUAUUAUAUUUAAUCAUAUAAAUUUUUUCAAUAUUGAGCUACAUAAUCCGUUGAAUUUUUUGCCCUCUAUUCCCACCUAAAACUAAAAAGAAAGAACAACAUUAAUUGCUUUAUUUAGUAAUGAAAGUGGGUCAUUAUAUAUAUAUAUAUAUAUAUAUAUAUAUAUAUAUAUAUAUAUAUAUAUAUAUAUAUAUAUAUAUUAUUUUAUUUUAUUUUAUUUUAUUUUUUUGACAACUAGGGAAACCUGAGCCGCUAUCCUAUAAAAUAGCUCGCAAAUCACAUAGGAGAGGUAACCUGCACUAGGCAAGCCUGGUGCAACGAGCUUGACCCAGAAGGCAAAUCUCUUGCUUUCGCUGGCAAGGGGUUUCAAACUUGAGACCUCCAAUAUGGAAGUUUCAAGCUCAAACCAUUGGGCCACCCCGAAGGGUUAUAUAUAUAUAACUUUUAGUAAUAUUAGAUAUUGACAUUAAUAAAGAGUGUUAAAGUCUUUAUCGGUAUCAGUUAAGUGUCAUUAGAACCAAUGUUGCUAAAGGCUUUAGGGACACAUACAAAGAAAGUUAUUGCCGCUAAAAACACUUAUUUGGCGACGUUUGAAAAUUAAUUGCCAAUAAUGAUUAUUUUUAAUAUAGUGUAUAUAUGUAUUAUUGUUUUAAAUCUCUAUACUAUUUAAGCACUAAAGGUAAUUAAAGGUUAGUUUAUCAAUCAAAAUCAAAAAAAAAUAAAUUGUUACUCCCUUAGUUCGUUUCAUAGUAGUUGAUCAUCUUACUAAAAAUAAUUGUUACACAUUAAUUGUCCAUCUUAUUAAAUCAAGAAAUCAAUAAUUAAUUUUUUCCUAUAUUAUCUAUUCAGAUAAUUCUUUUGAAAGUAUUAACAUUUGUUUGUAAAAUGUAAAAGAAGUUUUCAAGGGGUGAAUUAAUAAAAUUAUCUAGCUAGUUAAUAAAAAUGAUGGGUGAAAUAAUAUUAUCUAGCUACUUAAUAAAAAUAAUCAACUAAUAUGAGACACAUAAAAAUAGAAUUCUUCAAAUAUUUUGUAACAAAAAAAAAAAGAAAAAAGGCAGUGUACACUGAUUUUUGUAACUAAAAAUCGUGCGAAGUUGAGGGAUGCACGCAUUUUUUUCAAAGAUUUUGUAUGUAUGUAAUGUAAAAGCUUGGAAGAAAAAGAAGACUUUGUAGCUCUUUGAAUUAUUGCAUCACAAGAUGUAAAGAAAAUUGUAUGGUUGUCUUAAUAGUUUAUACAUUUUUGCUUAGCUUGCACCCUCUAUCCAAUAAAUAAAGUCAAAUUGAGCCAACAACAUGACAAAACCAAUUAUAAAAAUGAAUAAAAACUUUACCUACAUUUAUGUAAAUCUUGGUAAGGGUAAUUGUCGAAAUGAAAGCUAUAUAAAGGGGUUUGAGUGAAACUUAAAGAGGACACCAACUUCUCUUCUUUGGUUUCAAAUAUGGGGAAAAUGGCCUCUCUAGUUGCUACUCUUUUAGUGGUUUUAGUGUCACUUAGCUUUGCUUCCGAAAGCUCAGCAAACUAUCAAUACUCAUCUCCUCCACCACCAAAGAAGCCAUACCACCCUUCACCAACACCUUAUCAUCUCGCACCAGUUUACAGAUCACCACCACCACCAACUCCACUUUACAAGUCACCACCACCACCUAAGGAGCCACACUAUCCUCCACACACCCCGGUUUACAAGUCGCCACCUCCUCCAGCUCCAAUUUACAAGUCACCACCACCACCGGUGAAGCCAUACCAUCCAGCACCAGUUUAUAAGUCACCACCACCCCCUACGCCUGUUUACAAGUCACCACCACCACCAGUGAAGCCACACCAUCCUGCACCAGUAUACAAGUCUCCACCACCACCAACUCCAGUUUAUAAGUCACCACCUCCUCCAACACCCGUUUACAAGUCACCACCACCACCAGUGAAGCCAUACCAUCCUGCACCAGUAUACAAGUCACCACCACCUCCAACACCCAUUUACAAGUCACCACCACCACCAGUGAAGCCAUACCAUCCUGCACCAGUAUACAAGUCACCACCACCUCCAACACCCGUUUACAUGUCACCACCACCACCAGUGAAGCCAUACCAUCCUGCACCAGUAUACAAGUCACCACCACCUCUAACACCCGUUUACAAGUCACCACCACCACCAGUGAAGCCAUACCAUCCUGCACCAGUAUACAAAUCUCCACCACCACCAACUCCAAUUUACAAGUCACCUCCACCACCAGUGAAGCCAUACCAUCCUGCACCAGUAUACAAGUCUCCACCACCACCAACUCCAGUUUAUAAGUCACCACCACCACCGGUGAAGCCAUACCAUCCUACACCUGUGUACAAGUCUCCACCACCACCAACUCCUGUUUACAUGUCCCCACCACCACCAGUGAAGCCAUACCAUCCUACACCUGUGUACAAUUCUCCACCACCACCAACUCCCGUUUACAUGUCCCCACCACCACCAGUGAAGCCAUAUCAUCCUACACC
This 24252-nucleotide long non-coding RNA is filed under the name Solanum melongena (eggplant). RNAcentral's name for it is "long non-coding RNA (SMEL_LNC000097)". Lineage: Eukaryota; Viridiplantae; Streptophyta; Magnoliopsida; Solanales; Solanaceae. The record is from RNAcentral.